AAUAUUAAUAAAACUUAUGAAAUUAAUCAAAUUGAAAAUAGCAUGAAAGCCAUUCAGCAACAUGUCAUAGAUCUAACAUAUCGAAAUCAAAUAUAUUCUACUGCAAAUUAACCAAUUCAAACAAAGACCAAGCUAUUGUCAAACGCUUUUACUCAUUUUUUCAUAGCGCAAAAAAAAAAAAAAAAAAACUAAGAACAAUGAAAUCAUGCACACAAAAUAAAUAACAAAUUACUCAUUUUUUUAACAAACAAAAUUGUAUAGCGAUAAGUGUGAAAAAUACAAUAAAAAAAAUUGAACCCAAACAAAUGAUAAUUUAUGAAGAUAAAAACACAGAUGUGAUUUGACGGAGUCGAGAGAGCAACAAGCCACAGAGAUAGAGUCGAGGGAGCAACAAAAGCAGCAAGACAGAGCAGUAGCGGCAGCGGUGACGCAGCAGAGAUGCAACGCAACAACAGCAGAGAUGCAGCGCACCGACGGCGGUGGCAGAGAUGCAGCACGGCAGUAGCAGCAACGACGGAGAUGCGAGGAGCAGCGGUGGUGAUGCAAGUAAUAGUUAGAUUGGAUAAAGAGAAGGAGAGUGAGAGAGCUGUGAAAUCAACGAAGAGAUAAGGAAUCAGCUGUGUAGGAUAAGAUUUUAGGGGAGAGAAAGAGAGAAAGCUUUUGGAUUUUAUUUUAUAAUUUAUUUCUGAAUUUAAUUUGUAAUAUAUGGAGAACAGCUCACCAAAGAUGUAUUAUAUCUAAUAUUCUCAAAAUAAAAAUGAAAUCAAGGGCCCAAAAACGCGACGAAACAGGUCCUAAAACUUCAGUUUCUCUGUUUUCAUUUAGAAUAUGAUGAUAAAUAGUGGCAUAUUGAUGAUUUUUUUUUUCUUAACAAUAAAUAGAGGUAUUAAUGUUUAGAAUAAAUUAAAUAUUGUUAUUCUAAGUAAGACUUAUCCAAUUUUAGAUUCAAUUAUUUGAGCAUUGACAACAAAAGAUGCCAAGAUGUGAUAAGAACUAAGAAGGGUGUAAACAAUUUCGUUUGUUUGAUCAUUCAUCGGGGAAUUUACAUAAUUAGUCCAAACGUUUUUAGGUCUUUUGAAACUAACUCUUCUAUAUAUAUAUAUAUUUUAAUCAGUCAAAUACAGUAUAAGGGUUUUAGAUGCAUUUAUCCUUACCAUUCUCACUCAACCCUAUCAGCAAUUAAAAAAAAAAAAAAAAAAAAAAAACUCGAAACUAACAAUUUCCAAUCAAGUAAAUUAACGACAACGGAAACGGCUACUUUUGGUAAGUCAACCAAGUUUUGAUUUUGAUUUAACGAGGUGAGUUUAGGCCUAAAUUUGUUUUUUUUUUUCAAUGGGUUUAAUGAAAAUCAAUAAAUUGUUGCUAGUUACAUAUGGCACUACAAAUGUUUGUUGAAAUGCCUCUGGUUUCUAAUUUCCUCAUUUUUGUUAAAAAAGUACCCAAAAAAAAAAAAAUUUCAUCUGCCCAUUUUCAUUUUUUCUUUAUCUAAAAAAGAAAACAGAGACAUUAACUAAGAAGGAAGAACACUUGCUUCUGCCGAAUGCCGCCAUUGCUAUCGUUCCUCUGCCCGACGCCACUGCUCCUGCUCAUCUGCCACUCCUCUGCCGUCAACCUUCAGCACAACCACCACAUCCCGCCCAUUCCUUUGGCGGCGGGUUUAGGUUGGUUCCCUUUUGGUUUUAUGCUUUGAAAACAACAAUACUAUUUUCUUUUUUUUUUUCCUCCAAAUUGGAUUCGCAUGGAAGAAAUUCAUAAUGCUGUAAGAAACCAUCUAUGUUGUUUUGUGAAGUUUCGGCGUUUUCAUUUACAUCAUUGGCACUGAGAUGCAUUUGUCUUCUAGCAGCACAAGAGCACCCUUAUCGCUUAUGUUUUAGCCCAGCCCAAACCGACCAAAACCGAACAGAACUGAACAGAAAAUUCAGGUUCGGCUCUCGGUUUUGUGCUUCUUCGGACCGCCCCAUAGGUUGAAAAAUGCUCAACCCGAGAAAUUCGAUUCAUUUUGGGUUGGGCCUAAAUCGGCCCAACCCCAGGCAAUGGUAUCGGUGCUUGGGAACGUGCAAAUUUUUAACGAGCCAUGGCUUUGGGGAUCUUGCUAUGUUUUAAUUGGUUUAGGUGGUCUUUGGCAAAUUUGGUUUGCUAUGGGCUGUCCAUGGCAGGGUGUGUGUCCCCCACAAUAGUGUUUUUGGUGUGACGUGUUUUAUUUUUAUUUUUUAUUAUUAUAAUUUUAAUAAAUUCAUUAUUUUUUUUUUGGGGUAAAUGAUGAUUUGUCUUCAAUAAUGUAGAAGUACAUUUAUUUGAUGAAUUUAAUGAUUUAUUAAAGUUGUGAGAUUUGAUAAUUUGCUGAGAGUGGUGGGAGUAUUUUUAUUUGAAAAUUAGUUUAUAAGCUAAUUAUAAGAGAAAAACGUCGGAAGGCCAAUUUCGAAAAAUCCAAAAAAAUUUAGGCUAGUUAUGUGAAUUUCCUUCCAGCUGAUUCCUUGGCAUGACAUGAUAUUUUUUUUGUCUGCGCAAAGCACUUCCUUUUCCUUCCUUGGUCUCGUCCCCAACAAAAAUCAGAAGAGAAACUGAAAAUACCGUCAAAAGAGAAACUGCUUUUGAUUGAAAUCCACAGAGGAAUUUCGCUGGCUCGUAACUCUUUUUUUUUUUUUUAAGGUUUUAAUUUCUUUAUAUUUAUUUUUUGGAACUUCAAAUAAUUGCUAUUGGAUUAAACUAAACUAAAGCAAAUUCGUAUCCAAAUGCAUAGCGCAUGGUAUCAGUUUGUUACUCUUUGAUCUAAUCAACUGUUUCUGUUAGAUGAUAAUUCAAAAUUGAAGUGCAAUUUUUCCAGCGUGUUCAUUCAUUCGUAUAACCGAGAACUAAAUCCCAAAGCCUUUAAUCAUGCUUAUUUUGAACAAUAAUAACAUAUUUUCUAUUUUAUUUUUUGAUUUCUGUGACUGUAGGUUUUAUCAUUUGAAGGAGUUGUGUCAUCUGCUCAGAUCAACUAACUCAUUUGAAGCUGAAGCUGGUCGUCGUAUUCUACUCAGCAAUCAGUAUCGUAUUGAAUCACUUUCUCUCUCUCACACAUCAAUAAUCAUAGUAGUAUUUAUUUGCCUGUCAAUUGGCGUUCAGUCAUGACUGGGAACGAGAGUGAGAGUGAACUCCCAGUGCCACCAUACCCUCCAAUCGAGCCAACCGCAUUCGACCUCAUUGUCAUUGGAACUGGCCUGCCAGAAUCUGUAAUUUCGGCCGCAGCAUCCGCCUCUGGCAAAUCCGUCCUCCACCUCGACCCGAACCCAUUUUACGGGUCCCACUUCUCAUCUCUCUCCAUUGCUGACCUGACUCACUUCCUUAACUCCCAUUCUACACCUUCUUCUGUCUGCCCUGAUCCUCUUUACUCUGAUGUUGAGAUAUCCAAUUAUGCUUCUCGACUUCUCAGCCAACACCCUAGAAACUUUAAUUUAGAUGUAUCCGGACCGAGAGUUUUAUUUUGUGCUGAUCAUGCUGUAGACUUGAUGUUAAAGUCUGGGGCAAGUCACUAUCUUGAAUUCAAAAGUAUUGAUGCAACUUUUAUGCUGGAUGCUGAUGCCAAACUGUGUAGUGUGCCGGAUUCACGUGCUGCGAUUUUUAAGGAUAAGAGUUUGGGUUUGAUGGAGAAGAAUCAGUUGAUGAGAUUCUUUAAGCUUGUUCAGGGACACUUGAGCCUAGAUGAGAGCGAAGAAAAUGAUGUGAGAAUCUCCGAGGAAGAUUUGGACAGUCCUUUUGCUGAUUUUUUGACUAAAAUGAAGUUGUCUCACAAGAUUAAAUCGUACAGUCCUUUCCCGCCUGUGACCUUUUUCUCCAUUAUCUAUUUAUGGCACUUAAGUGCCUGGUUAUUCUUCCGGUUGGAGAUGCCUUGCCGGUUAAAUCAAAAGAUUUGCUUUACUCUUUCUGUUGUUGAUUGCUAAUGCAUUCUUUUGGUUUUGUAGUAUUGUUCUAUAUGCAAUAGCGAUGGCAGAUUAUGAUCAAGAAGUCAGUGAAUAUGUGCUUAAGACAAGAGAUGGCAUCAAUCGAUUAGCUCUCUACAACUCAUCCAUUGGCAGGCUAGUGUUAAUGUUUUGCCUUUUUAUUUUUAUUUUUUUUGGUAUUAUUGAAAGUUUUGGCUCUGUACGAACUCAUCUGAUGACUGGCGUUGUUUUAUUCAGGUUUCAAAAUGCACUUGGGGCUUUGAUAUAUCCCAUUUAUGGGCAAGGGGAACUACCACAAGCCUUUUGCCGUCGUGCUGCCGUCAAAGGCUGUCUUUAUGUAAGGUUCAAAGGAUGCCUUCUGCUUUAUCUUCCAUGAAAAAUUUUGUUGUAUUUGAAUUAGAACUGUCACCAUUAUCCUAUUGUUUCUUUGCUGUCAGAUAUCAUCCAUGUAGUAUUGAACAACAUGAUAAACAGUAGUUGUUUGUUAUUUGUGGCAAUGGGAAUGGGAGAACUAUAUGAGACAAACUUGGGAGAAGGGUGUGGAUCUUGAAGUAACUGCUUGCUGCCUUUGUGCUUUUACUGCACCCUUUCCCUAUGCCAGUAUGUUUCUAUCAAGUUUAAGGGUGUCCAGAAAACAAAAGCUACAGUCCGUAAUAGCACUUUAAGUUGCUUGGGUUGAAAGUGCAGUAGUUUUAUUUCAGACACCUGAUUUAAGUUUGCAUUAGUGUUUCUAUUCUGAUUCUACUUGAGUUAAUGGAAUGGAUCUGCUCUUUUUGAAAAACAUUGCUUGAUAUUUAAUACCAUUCUAGGAAAAUGUCGAAAUUUUGGUUGUUGAAUGGGCUACAUAAAUACGAGUUGAAGUGUAAUUAUUCUGUUGUACCUCUGCUGAGUUAAUUUGCUCAUCUUCAUUUGAAAUUCUAUGGUUAGGUUCUGCGGAUGCCGGUGAUUUCUCUGCUUACGGAUCAGGUCCGAAGUUUGCUUAUGAAUUGGUUAUAACUGGGAAUUUUCUUUUAUUUAACUCAAUAGGCUGCUUGUGUCGAAGGAAUAAAUUAUAUGGUUUUAUUUGAAUGCAGAAUAGUGGGUCCUAUAAAGGUGUUAGAUUGGCUUCAGGUCAGGAUAUAUUGAGCCACAAGUUGGUCCUAGAUCCAUCUUUUACUGUUCCGGGGUCAUUAGCCUCAUCUCAUCAGCAACUGCAAGAAAGUUUUCAAGCUUUUAGUCUCAGUGAUAAUAAAGGCAAGGUGGCUAGGGGGAUAUGCAUUACAAGGAGUUCCUUGAAACCAGAUCUAUCAAAUUUUUUGGUGAUAUUUCCUCCCAGAUGUAAGAUUGACUCUUGGUACUUUUGCCCUUGCUAUGCUGAGGAUUUCAAGUGAAAUAGAAAAGCUAUUUGCUUAACUUUUUCUUCUUUUUUGUUACCCCUCCAGCUUUGUUUCCCGAGCAGGUUACAUCAAUCCGAGUUCUCCAGCUUGGUGGCAAUUUAGCUGUAUGUCCUGUAGGAAUGUAAGAUUUUUGUGUUUGUUUUGAAGCUGACUAGUAUUUUUCUUUUUAUCGUUUUAUAUGAUCAAAUGUUCUGGAAACUGUGCAUGCCAUUAGACACUAUGUGCUUAGGACAAAACAAAAAUUAUCCCUUUGACUCUCAAAUAUGUAAUGCCUACUUUUAAUAUCAUGAUACAUAUACGUGGCUAAAACUAUCUUUACCCUUAUAUUAUCUUUUGUGUGCUAAUAGAUGUGAGUUCGAGAAAAAUUAAGUGAAACCCACUGUAUAUGAAUUCCAUGUUUUUGGUUCUGUGCUCAUUUGAAAAUUAGUUGUGUCUGAUACAAAAAUUUAACUGCCCCCUACUUUUUAAAUGAAAUUUUGUGAUACUUGAGUUCACAUAGCUUUUCUUUUUCCUUGCUCAGGUUUGUGUUGUAUUUUUCAGCUUUAUGUGAUGAAGUCAAUCAAGGGAAAAAGUUACUACACGCAGCCUUAAGUGCUCUUCAGAAACUUCUUGUUACUGGAACAGCUGGAAAUAGCUCCACCGCUCAAAGUGAGGAUAUGGAAGAAGCAAAACCCACUUUACUUUGGAGCGCAUUGUAUAUUCAGGAUCUAAGUUUGGUAUGUUUUGCAUCUGUCUUUUCCUUGCCGAAAGUUCUCUUUCAUAGUUUUAAAAUGUACCUGUAUUGUGGGCGUGCACUUAUUUUUAUGUUUUUUCUUGCCCUUCUUUUUUCCCCUUUCUUUUAUAAAGGGAUACUGUAUCAUGGUUACAAAGCUGCAGUGUUUCCAGGAUGUAAUUCGCAAAAAGCAUUAUGUUCUCAUUAUUUUGACUUGUAAUGCCUGUUUGAUAGAGUCAUGUGUUUAUUUAGGGUCAGUUUGGAUCUAUUAUCUCCACUCCCACACCAGAUGGAAAUCUGAACUACAAUGAUCUUUUAGAUGCAACUGAAAAGGUACAUCAUCUUCAGCUUGUCAUAACGUUUGAAGUUUUGUUUUACUAUACUGCAGUUUUGUGAAGUUCAUUUAUUUGGACUAAGCAUUUGUCGUCAUUUUGAGAUGCUGAUGAAAAUUUGGUUAUGGCAAUCAACAGCUAUAUUGGAAGUUGUAUCCCAAUGAAGAAUUAUUUCCGGAGACCACUUCUUCCCCCGAGAAUUCUGAAGAUGAUGCUGGCCUUACUCUAGAGUCCUGAAGGUAUUUUGCUGGAUCAUAUUGGUUUCUUUUAUCAUUACCAGGAAUAUUGAAUCUGAUUCAAUUUAUGUGUCUAACAGUGAACUGGCACAGAAGUUGGAGAAAUACUGUUGUGGGAACGUGAUAAGAAUUUGUUUUCAUGAUUUUGGUAGCGUUUAAAGAUUGAAGUUGUGAACUCCAGAACUUGGCAAAGUAUGAUUUUCUUCCUCAACAUAACCGUACGUCCAAGUGCCGUUCACAGGAAUUUUGUUACCAUGCAAAAAGCAACCCAUAAUACGUGAGGUUUAUUGUGUUGUACGUUGAAUCUGCU
This 6886-nucleotide long non-coding RNA is filed under the name Citrus maxima (pomelo). RNAcentral's name for it is "long non-coding RNA (CMAX_LNC000003)". The record is from RNAcentral. Lineage: Eukaryota; Viridiplantae; Streptophyta; Magnoliopsida; Sapindales; Rutaceae.